AGCGCGGUAGUGAAACGGAAUCACCCUGGUUUCAUAAGCCAGUUUUACGGGUUCGAAUCCCGUCUGCGCCA
RNAcentral lists this transfer RNA (71 nucleotides) under Mycobacterium sp. AZCC_0083. RNAcentral's name for it is "tRNA-Met". It matches the Rfam family "tRNA". From Rfam's summary of the family: Transfer RNA (tRNA) molecules are approximately 80 nucleotides in length. Their secondary structure includes four short double-helical elements and three loops (D, anti-codon, and T loops). Further hydrogen bonds mediate the characteristic L-shaped molecular structure. tRNAs have two regions of fundamental functional importance: the anti-codon, which is responsible for specific mRNA codon recognition, and the 3' end, to which the tRNAs corresponding amino acid is attached (by aminoacyl-tRNA synthetases). tRNAs cope with the degeneracy of the genetic code in two manners: having more than one tRNA (with a specific anti-codon) for a particular amino acid; and 'wobble' base-pairing, i.e. permitting non-standard base-pairing at the 3rd anti-codon position. The record is from RNAcentral. Lineage: Bacteria; Bacillati; Actinomycetota; Actinomycetes; Mycobacteriales; Mycobacteriaceae.